Molecule: long non-coding RNA, 237 nt
Organism: Sinocyclocheilus rhinocerous
Lineage: Eukaryota; Metazoa; Chordata; Actinopteri; Cypriniformes; Cyprinidae
Exons: 3
Source: RefSeq, a predicted model, not a curated record
UAUUAUUCGAUCUACUUUAUCUAUAGUUCUAUCAUUUGUUCUGUCUAACCUCUGCUGUAUGUUUGCAGUUGGGUGGCGGUGCUGUUCUGGGUCAGAAGGGAGAAAAAGGAGAACCUGCAGUGAUUGAGCCGGGAAUGCUGAUUGAAGGACCUACUGGACUACCUGGACCUGCUGGUCUUCCAGGCCCUUCAGGUUUACAAGGCCCCCCUGGUUCAGCCGGAGAUUCUGGUGACAGGG